UUCAUAACAUACAAAACUUUUUUAAUGUAUACCCAUAAUUUAAAAUUUAAAAUUUAAAUUGAUUUCAAAAUUUAAAUUUAAUUUAGAUCUAAAUUUAUGAAUCAAACUCAAAUCUUAGAGUUAUUUUUGAAUAUGUUAUUCGAAUUUAAAUAGUUGCUGAUUUGAUAGGUAUUUUUAACUCUAGAUUUAAAUUUAUGAAUUAAUUUUGAAUUUAUUAUUUGAUUUAAAUAGUUGUUGAUUUGAUAGGUAUUUUUACAUCUAUCUAUUGUUCAAACCUGAUUUAUUUUAGUCAGGUAAUUAUUUUUCAUAUUAUUUUUUUAAGAGACAAUUGCUUAUAUAUCCUUAAAAAGUUUCGGACUUUCUGAUUCUAAGUUAUUUCAAAUAUAUUCCUUAAGUUUAAUUCUAUUAGUAAACGGUUAGCAACAGUCGUUAUCAUUCUAAAAUUACUCUAUGUGAGUAUGGAUGCUAAAUUUAAUCUUCUACUAUUAUAGG
This 492-nucleotide long non-coding RNA is filed under the name Ananas comosus (pineapple). RNAcentral describes it as "long non-coding RNA (ACOM_LNC010658)". Lineage: Eukaryota; Viridiplantae; Streptophyta; Magnoliopsida; Poales; Bromeliaceae. The record is from RNAcentral.